AGUGAACGCUGGCGGUAGGCCUAACACAUGCAAGUCGAACGGCAGCACAGUAAGAGCUUGCUCUUACGGGUGGCGAGUGGCGGACGGGUGAGGAAUACAUCGGAAUCUACUUUUUCGUGGGGGAUAACGUAGGGAAACUUACGCUAAUACCGCAUACGACCUACGGGUGAAAGCAGGAGAUCUUCGCACCUUGCGCGACUGAAUGAGCCGAUGGCGGAUUAGCUAGUUGGCGGGGUAAAGGCCCACCAAGGCGACGAUCCGUAGCUGGUCUGAAAGGAUGAUCGGCCACACUGGAACUGAGACGCGGUCCAGACUCCUACGGGAGGCAGCAGUGGGGAAUAUUGCACAAUGGGCGCAAGCCUGACCGAGCCACGCCGCGUGGGUGAAGAAGGUCUUCGGUUCGUAAAACUCUUUUGUGGGGAAAGAAGAACAGUGGUAGUAACUCCGCCCGUCUUGACGGUACCAAAGAAAAAAGCCCCGGCUAACUACGUG
Molecule: ribosomal RNA, 492 nt
Filed under: uncultured bacterium
Lineage: Bacteria
Description: partial 16S ribosomal RNA
Rfam family: Bacterial small subunit ribosomal RNA
Source: RNAcentral